Long non-coding RNA from Cucurbita moschata (crookneck pumpkin), 271 nucleotides. RefSeq lists it as uncharacterized. The transcript has 2 exons. Lineage: Eukaryota; Viridiplantae; Streptophyta; Magnoliopsida; Cucurbitales; Cucurbitaceae. The record is from RefSeq and is a predicted model, not a curated record.
CCUAUUAUUAUGUGAAUUAGGACUUGUGAAGAAAAUUCCAGAAUUGUUGGAAUCCAUUCCGUCAAGAAAACUUGAACUCGGGAAGGCACGCGUCGACCAUGCGAGUGAGGCCAGGGAUCGAGGCGGGAAUGCAUGCUGAAUCUUAAUGCCACAGAGGAGUGUCCCGGGGCGUCUAGGAGUCUGUGCAUAAUUUUGUUUAGAUUUGUCAUGCAUUGUUUUGUAAACCGCUUACUUACUAUUCAUAUUUGAACACCUUGUUUUGGAUUUUAAA